Molecule: long non-coding RNA, 1075 nt
Organism: Oncorhynchus masou masou (cherry salmon)
Lineage: Eukaryota; Metazoa; Chordata; Actinopteri; Salmoniformes; Salmonidae
Exons: 2
Source: RefSeq, a predicted model, not a curated record
AGCCGGAAGCCAGCUGCACCAAUGUGUCUGAGGAAACACUCAACCUGACAACCGAGGUCAGCGUGCAGAAGCCUGGCCCACCUCAAUUAGUCGCUAGAGCAGGAUGAAACAAGGACAUCCCGGCAGCCAAGCAAAUUACAUUACAUUUUUUAAACAAAGUUGUGUACUUGGUUACCAUGGAUAUGAAUAGUGACAGUGGAGCACAUGGAUGUCAUGGAGGGAGAUUAACAUUUUUAUGCUGGGGAAUUAUUGAAAAAUAAAAGCAGAGGUAACUCUGGGUCUUCCAUUCCUGUAGCGGUCCUCAUGAGAGCCAGUUUCAUCAUAGCACUUGAUGGUUUUUGCAACUGCACUUGAAGAAACCUUGAAAUUUGAAGAAAGUUCUUGACAUUUUCCGUAUUGACUGAAUUUCAUGUGUUAAAGUAUUGAUGGACUAUCGUUUCUCUUUGCUUAUUUGAGCUGUUCUUGCCACAAUACGGACUUGGUCUAUUACCAGAUAGGGCUCUCCCAUCCAUUGACCAAAUGGCAUAUGAUGCUUGAUGGCGCAGUCUAGGAGGAAAUUUGCUCUCUCGUUAAGCAAUUGAGAGCAUUAAGGGCAAAAUCUUGAGUGAGCACAUACCUGUCUCAUGAGUCUGAAUCAAUAGACUGCAGCCAGUGAACAAAGAUUUGUUUGUCAAUCAGUGGAUCCAGCCAUGUAUUUCUGCCUAAUGCAUUAAAGCCCAAAAUUCUUCUAAAAGAUGCUUUAAGUUCUUGAUGCAUGUAGCCUUUGUUUUUUGAGGUUAUUAAUGGUUUGUUCUAUAUAAUCAAUAAAACAUGUACAAUUGUGACAUUAAAAUAUGUAAUUGUAUUUUUUAUCAUGUUUUAUAUGAUAUGUCAUUUCCAGCACACUCUGUCAUUGUCAGAGUCGUGUGUAUAUACACUGUAGGUUUGAGCUAGCUCCUCACUGCAAGCAAAGCUUAGGUGUGUGCGUGUACUGGUUGGUGGCGCUUAUUUGCGUAUAAUAAAACUACCGUCUGUGAGUGUCAUUGAAGGAGAACGAAACGUCUCCUCAAUAAAGUCGUGUGGUGCUUGGUUGGUA